This 65-nucleotide unclassified non-coding RNA is filed under the name Mus musculus (house mouse). Its description in RNAcentral is "partial derived from hnRNA or mRNA fragment, or novel small non-messenger RNA without known sequence-or structural motifs". Lineage: Eukaryota; Metazoa; Chordata; Mammalia; Rodentia; Muridae. The record is from RNAcentral.
CACAUGCUUUGCAGAUGAGAGAUGAUGUUGGCACUGACCUUGGGACCCUUGAGUAAAGAAAACAG